CUUUUGUUGUGGCAAGUUUGGUUCUAUGUAUGAGAUGGUUCUCUGGACUAUGAAACUAGUAUACUAUAUACAAGUUCACUUUAAAGUUACAUUUGUAUGAUUACUAUGUUUAUAUUUGCGCUUCAUUAUUAAUGUUGAUUGGUGGUUCAGAAGUUUGGGCCUAUUUUUAUAGGAGCUGUAUCCAAACACCAGAUUUUGAUUUCCACACUUAGGCACAAGCUUGCUCAGGCUUCAAAAAAUUUCUGGCUCCGCCACUGCUAGAUGAUGCAAGAGUAGUACUAACUUAGGAGUAGUAGAUACGCUAGAUAAUGCUCCAUUUCAAACUAGAUAAUGCUCCAUUUCAAACUAGAUAGUGCUGACAGAGAUGACGAUGGACAAUGUGAGUCUGCCUUGCCGAUAUUUUCACUUAGGCCUUCUCGGCAUGGCUUCUUGCAGGCCUCCCCUCCAACUCCCCUCCCUCUUUCUCCAUGCUAUGCAGCACCACCUCUUUGUGCUCACAUUGGAUGUAGCUACCAAGCCCUAACCAACCCUGAUGGCCCAUCGUGGUGGCUGCAGAGCUCAUUAGAGUGUAGAUUGGAUACACCGUGUUUCAACUGCAACUUUUUUGAGUAACAAGAAGUUUAUUUUCUAGCUUCUGUAUCUGCUCCCAAUUUAUUUUUACACCUUAAUAAUCUACUUCUAUGUAUGCAGCUGGAAGUGGAUAAGUCUGGCAAAAGCAACAAUGCGAUCACGUGCUAGUCUCGAGGGAUUUCUCAAAGAUACACAAGCUGAUGGUGGUUCGGAAGAUGUACAAGUUGCUGGAGGUUUGGAAGAUCUACAAGUUGCUGGAGUGACAAUAUAUAUGUAAUAUACCUUAGUUGUUGAACCUUGAGACAUCGGCAAGUUUUAUACUGCAUUUGGUUGGUUGUUUCAGCACACAAGCCAUUGUAUGCUUAUUUUGGUUGUGUGGCACGAUUUCUUUAGCUUAAACAUAUUUACUUUGCCUUCUGAGGCACAAUGUCAUUAGAAACGUAUAUUUUUAUCUGUUUUAUGUUAUUGAAUGAGGCCUUACAUGUAAUCUGAUUGAGUUGUAUGUAUAAGUUUUGUGAUC
Molecule: long non-coding RNA, 1090 nt
Organism: Triticum aestivum (bread wheat)
Lineage: Eukaryota; Viridiplantae; Streptophyta; Magnoliopsida; Poales; Poaceae
Exons: 2
Source: RefSeq, a predicted model, not a curated record